RNAcentral lists this ribosomal RNA (410 nucleotides) under uncultured bacterium. Its description in RNAcentral is "bacterial SSU rRNA". It matches the Rfam family "Bacterial small subunit ribosomal RNA", at positions 370 to 772 of the family's 1533-position model. The record is from RNAcentral.
AAUGGGCGCAAGCCUGAUCCAGCCAUGCCGCGUGAGUGAAGAAGGCCUUCGGGUUGUAAAGCUCUUUCAGUUGAGAAGAAAAAGUCGUGACUAAUAAUCAUGAUUCAUGACGGUAUCAACAGAAGAAGCACCGGCUAACUACGUGCCAGCAGCCGCGGUAAUACGUAGGGNGCGAGCGUUAAUCGGAAUUACUGGGCGUAAAGCGUGCGCAGGCGGUUUUGUAAGACGGGCGUGAAAUCCCCGGGCUUAACCUGGGAACUGCGCUUGUGACUGCAAGGCUAGAGUACGGCAGAGGGGGGUGGAAUUCCACGUGUAGCAGUGAAAUGCGUAGAGAUGUGGAGGAACACCAAUGGCGAAGGCAGCCCCCUGGGUCGAUACUGACGCUCAUGCACGAAAGCGUGGGUAGCAAA